Mauremys mutica (yellowpond turtle) is the source of this 2211-nucleotide long non-coding RNA. RefSeq lists it as uncharacterized. The record is from RefSeq and is a predicted model, not a curated record. The transcript is spliced from 5 exons. Lineage: Eukaryota; Metazoa; Chordata; Testudines; Geoemydidae.
GCAGGAGCAAGGCCCUUCCCCCUCCCCGUGCAGGGGGGCGGGCGGGCUCUCCCCUCGGGCCCACCCAGCGUAGCCCGCGGGAGAAGCCAGGCCCCGCCCGCGCUGCGGGGCUGGGGGCGCGAACCGGCGGGCGGGAAGCGAGUCAGUACCUGCUCCGCCGCCCUCGGAGCUGGGACAGUAACCGAGCGCAGGCCCCGCCGCUGCCGCCGCCGCUGCCGCAACGGGGACUGUCCGCAGUCCGCACAGCGCCACCCUGCGGGCCCGCCCGCCCGGGAGCCCAGCGGCUGCGCCUCGGAGCCGGGGCGUGCGUGGGGCCAGGGAGUGAGAAAGGGCCGCACCCCACCCUGCACAGCAAACUGCCCCGUAUCCCCCACGGGGGGGCCCGCACCGCGAGCAGCAUCUCUGCCCCAGUGUUCAUGGGCGGGACACCGCACCCGUCUGAGCCCUCCCUGGGGAGUGAGGUAUAGUUGGGAUUAUCCUUGCUUGUCUUCCUGUCAGUAUCCCAGUGUAGGUAUUGCGAUAUACCAGAGACAUGCACCCUAGAAGUCUUCCAAACCAAAAUACCUCAACGUUCAUAAAUGUACCAGGGUGUAGACACAGAAUGGCUUUCCUGGGAUCCAGUGGAUCAUCCCUUCAUGCACCUGACUGGUGUUAAACAUGUCACUGGUGAAACUAUACUGUGAUGACAUCUGUGUUGUGGAUGAAGAGCUCUUCUUGGCUGUAGUAACCAAUCUGAGACUUCAUGCAAAGAUCAUGUAGAUGCAUAAAUAAAAGUUAAUACAAAAAGGAGUUGUAAUAUACAAGGCCAAAUCCCGAAAUCCCUAUGAAGGCAAAAUUCUCAUUGAUUUCAGUGUGAAUUUUGCUUGUGCAGAAAGCGCAUGAUCAUUCUCAAAGUCACUUAACAUAAGUCUCAGGAGUUUUCAGUGGACUUUAGUUAUGAUUCUCAUAUACAAACAUAGUUAAGAUUUGGGGGAAAAACCCUUACAAGAAGGUUGUUAGCAAGAAGCAAACAUUAAAAAGCCAGAAAAUUCAAGGUUAUGAUUAAAAGUGCAAGAAAUAAAAACACAGGCCAUGUUAUAAAUAUGGACUGGGAUAAAGGAGAAGAUUGACCAUUUGAAUAUUUUGUUUAUGGAACUGCUUUCUCUGAGGUUGAAAUUGACUAUCUUACAGGAGAUCAUAAGAUAAUAAAAACUACAAUUAGAUCUGGAGCAGGAGUAGUCAAUAGGUGGACCACAGGCCAAAUCCAGACUGCCAGAUGCUUUUGAAUGGACCCCAAAAUCUUUUUAUUAAUAUCAUUAUUGUUAUUUUAUUAUUAUUAUUUUCUCUGGAGUCUGGACUUUGGCUAUACUUUGAUGAAGAAAUCCGGACCUUGACGAGAAAUAAUCGACUACCUUUGGUCUGGAGAAUAAAUUCACAGAGAUUUUUGAGUUGGUGCUGAACAGAGGAGAAUGUACAUAGUUAUAUUCAGCCAAUACAAUUUACAGCAAAAAAUUCAGAAGAUUAUGAAUCAAGAAUACUACUUUUCAGUAUAAUAUUGCACUGGUACUACAAAACAUACACACAUACAAAAAUUAUGUCAGUAUAUUGCUGCAUCAUAUAUUGAUUAGACCAUUCAGUAAAUUUAAACAAUACUUGUUUAAUAUUUAUUGUGCAUGUGAUCCAUAAAGCAUGUACUAUGUAUGAUGUAUUAAAGUGUUUUGCACUUGCCAUAUUGUUCUUUCCUAACCUAUCUGGUGAAUGAAAAUAUAUCAAUUUGACUUAAGAUAAAAGUAACUGCUGUUUCCAGUGCCACAACAUAAUUUGCUGUGCCUAAAACUAUUUGUAACCAUUUGUUGUGGAUAUUUAUGGCUGUGGUUAUUGUUGUGGGUAUUUUAUAUAGUUAAAUAUUAUAAUACAAUAACACAAUCUAAAUAGUUUGUAUUUUUAUUUCCAAAGUAUCUUCAAUCCUUCCUGUCUCCCGCCCCACUCAAAAAAACCCAAACCAACCCUCCCAAACACAUUUUGUUUGUUAUCCUUCCAUAAUGAAUUCCAAAGUACUUAAUCUACUGUUUUCAGUGGCAUAUUUCUAAUCUACAGCAAUAAGGCUGCUGUUCUUACCUUUCAGUGUUGCAGUAUUAAAGGAAUCAAAUACAGUAAAGGAAGUGUUUUUUCAAUUAUUGUAAUUUGUUUUGCAACUUCUUCUGCUCUGUAGUUGUCCUGCAGUUUUUUUCA